UUCCAGACUCCUACGGGAGGCAGCCGUCGGGAAUAUUGCUCAAUGGGGGAACCCCUGAAGCAGCACCUCCUCGUGGAGGCUGCAGGUUUUAGGAUUGUCCACUCCUUUUGUUCUAGAAGAUUCUGCCGGUAUCUACCUCUUCAGCACCGUCUCCCUCCGUGCCCGCCGCCGCGGUAAUCCGUCGGGUGCAAUCUUUACUCGGAAUCACUGGGCGGAAAGAGUGCGUAGGCGGGGGAAUAAGUCAGAUGUGAAAUCCGGGAGAGUAACUACAGAACUGCAUUUGAAACUGUUACUCUGGAGUGUGGGAGAGGUAGGUGGAAUUCUUGGUGUAGGGGUAAAAUCCGUAGAGAGCAAGAGGAAUACUCAUUGCGAAGGCGACCUGCUGGAACAUUACUGACGCUGAUGCACGAAAGCGUGGGGAGCAAACAGGAUUAGAUACCCUCGUA
RNAcentral lists this ribosomal RNA (446 nucleotides) under uncultured bacterium. RNAcentral describes it as "bacterial SSU rRNA". It matches the Rfam family "Bacterial small subunit ribosomal RNA", at positions 329 to 792 of the family's 1533-position model. The record is from RNAcentral.